Molecule: ribosomal RNA, 253 nt
Filed under: uncultured bacterium
Lineage: Bacteria
Description: partial 16S ribosomal RNA
Rfam family: Bacterial small subunit ribosomal RNA
Source: RNAcentral
UACGAAGGGGGCUAGCGUUGCUCGGAAUCACUGGGCGUAAAGCGCACGUAGGCGGCUUUCUAAGUCAGGGGUGAAAUCCUGGAGCUCAACUCCAGAACUGCCUUUGAUACUGGAGAGCUCGAGUCCGGAAGAGGUGAGUGGAACUGCGAGUGUAGAGGUGAAAUUCGUAGAUAUUCGCAAGAACACCAGUGGCGAAGGCGGCUCACUGGUCCGGUACUGACGCUGAGGUGCGAAAGCGUGGGGGAGCAAACAG